UAGGGAAUUUUGCGCAAUGGACGAAAGUCUGACGCAGCAAUACCGUGUGAGGGAUGAAGCAUUUCGGUGUGUAAACCUCUGUCGUCGGUGAAUAAAGGUGUUGGGAGUGGAAAGCCCAGCAUUUGAAUGUAGCCGAGAAGGAAGCACCGGCUAACUCUGUGCCAGCAGCCGCGGUAAUACAGGGGGUGCAAGCGUUGUUCGGAAUCACUGGGCGUAAAGGGAGCGUAGGCGGGAGUGCAAGACAGAGGUUAAAUGUUCGGGCUCAACCUGAAAUCUGCCUUUGUGACUGCAUUUCUUGAGUAUGGCAGAGGCUAGUGGAAUUACCGGUGUAGCGGUGGAAUGCGUAGAUAUCGGUAAGAACACCAGAGGCGAAGGCGACUAGCUGGGCCAAUACUGACGC
This 400-nucleotide ribosomal RNA is filed under the name uncultured bacterium. Its description in RNAcentral is "bacterial SSU rRNA". It matches the Rfam family "Bacterial small subunit ribosomal RNA", at positions 355 to 746 of the family's 1533-position model. The record is from RNAcentral.